UCCAGACUCCUACGGGAGGCAGCAGUGGGGAAUAUUGCACAAUGGGGGGAACCCUGAUGCAGCGACGCCGCGUGGGUGAAGGAGCACCUCGGUGCGUAAAGCCCUCUCGGCAGGGAAGAAAAGCGAACAGGUUCGCCUGGACGGUACCUGGCUAAGAAGCCCCGGCUAACUACGUGCCAGCAGCCGCGGGAAUACGUAGGGGGCAAGCGUUAUCCGGAUUUACUGGGUGUAAAGGGAGCGUAGACGGCAAUACAAGUCGGAAGUGAAAUACCCGGGCUCAACCUGGGAACUGCUUUGGAAACUGUAUGGCUGGAGUGCUGGAGAGGUAAGCGGAAUUCCUAGUGUAGCGGUGAAAUGCGUAGAUAUUAGGAGGAACACCAGUGGCGAAGGCGGCUUACUGGACAGUAACUGACGUUGAGGCUCGAAAGCGUGGGGAGCAAACAGGAUUAGAUACCCCUGUA
Molecule: ribosomal RNA, 461 nt
Filed under: uncultured bacterium
Lineage: Bacteria
Description: bacterial SSU rRNA
Rfam family: Bacterial small subunit ribosomal RNA
Source: RNAcentral